UACGAGGGGGGCAAGCGUUGUUCGGAAUUAUUGGGCGUAAAGCGCGCGUAGGUGGCCUCAUAAGUCCGCUGUGAAAGUCAAAGGCUCAACCUUUGAAAGCCGGUGGAUACUGUGAGGCUAGAGUACGGAAGAGGCGAGUGGAAUUCCUGGUGUAGCGGUGGAAUGCGCAGAUAUCAGGAGGAACACCAAUGGCGAAAGCAGCUUUCUGGGACGGUACUGACGCUGAGACGCGAAAGCGUGGGGAGCGAACAGG
This 253-nucleotide ribosomal RNA is filed under the name uncultured bacterium. RNAcentral describes it as "partial 16S ribosomal RNA". It matches the Rfam family "Bacterial small subunit ribosomal RNA", at positions 524 to 776 of the family's 1533-position model. The record is from RNAcentral.